Molecule: long non-coding RNA, 412 nt
Filed under: Monodelphis domestica (gray short-tailed opossum)
Lineage: Eukaryota; Metazoa; Chordata; Mammalia; Didelphimorphia; Didelphidae
Description: lncRNA (ENSMODG00000040285.1)
Source: RNAcentral
UCCCGAAAAUUCAGCCUCACAGCAAGUCACAUAUCCAUUUUGAUCAUAUCUCAGUGAAUGGUGUAAGAUAUUGGUCUAUACCUAGUUUCUGCCAAACUACUUUCCAAUUGUCCCAGUAAUUUUUCUUCCCAAAACCUGGAUCCAUACUUUUGUCAAAUAUAAGAGAGAAUUUGUGGAGCCUGGAUUGUUACAAAGACAGUUCUCAGCCACUGGUCUACCUAUAGUAAUGAGGCAGAGGAUGAGAAACAAAGGAGAAAUGAUUUGAGAAAGCUAACACUAAGCUGAUCUACUUCAGAGGCAGAACUUGGAUGAGGGGGUGAUGGAAGUCACAUAGAAGCAAACUGAAACUUGAUGCCAGGAGGUUUAUUAACUAUUUAAGCUGUUCCCAAAGCGGAAUGAAUCCCCAGGAGGU